RNAcentral lists this small RNA (1364 nucleotides) under Pongo abelii (Sumatran orangutan). Its description in RNAcentral is "retained intron". The record is from RNAcentral. Lineage: Eukaryota; Metazoa; Chordata; Mammalia; Primates; Hominidae.
AGGCCGAAGCGGAGCGGUAUAGGGAGCCGCGGCCGCGGGUCACCCGGUGGGGAGCAGUUGCGAAGUGUUAGCUAGACAGCAGUGAGUAGGGCUCGGGCGCCGGCGAGAUGCCUUUGUUCACCGCCAACCCCUUCGAGCAAGACGUGGAAAAAGCCACGAAUGAGUACAACACUACAGAAGAUUGGAGUCUUAUUAUGGACAUAUGUGACAAAGUUGGAAGUACUCCUAAUGGAGCAAAAGAUUGCCUAAAAGCCAUAAUGAAAAGAGUAAAUCAUAAGGUUCCACAUGUUGCUCUGCAGGCACUAACUCUUCUUGGGGCUUGUGUGGCAAACUGUGGAAAGAUAUUUCAUUUAGAAGUAUGUUCCCGUGAUUUUGCAACAGAAGUACGUGCUGUGAUUAAAAAUAAGGCACAUCCUAAAGUAUGUGAAAAACUGAAAUCUUUAAUGGUGGAGUGGUCAGAAGAAUUUCAGAAGGACCCUCAGUUUAGUCUAAUAUCUGCAACUAUUAAAUCUAUGAAAGAAGAAGGAAUUACUUUUCCUCCAGCAGGUUCUCAGACUGUCUCAGCUGCUGCCAAGAAUGGUACGUCAUCGAACAAAAACAAAGAGGAUGAAGACAUAGCUAAAGCUAUUGAAUUAUCGCUGCAAGAACAGAAACAGCAACACACAGAAACAAAAUCCUUAUAUCCAUCCUCAGAAAUUCAGUUAAAUAAUAAGGUUGCACGGAAAGUGAGAGCUUUAUAUGAUUUUGAAGCUGUUGAAGACAAUGAACUCACCUUUAAACAUGGUGAAAUAAUUAUUGUUUUGGAUGACAGUGAUGCCAAUUGGUGGAAAGGAGAAAAUCACAGAGGAAUAGGACUUUUCCCAUCCAAUUUUGUAACAACUAAUUUAAACAUAGAGACUGAGGCAGCGGCUGUGGACAAAUUGAAUGUAAUUGAUGAUGACGUGGAGGAAAUUAAGAAAUCAGAGCCUGAGCCUGUUUAUAUAGAUGAGGAUAAGAUGGAUAGAGCCCUGCAGGUACUUCAGAGUAUAGAUCCAACAGAUUCAAAACCAGACUCCCAGGACCUUUUGGAUUUAGAAGAUAUCUGCCAACAGAUGGGUCCAAUGAUAGAUGAAAAACUUGAAGAAAUUGAUAGGUGAGAUUUUUCGUGCAAGGAAUAAAAAGUAUAGUUUUGGGGGGUUCACUUGUUUUUUGGCAAACAGUGAAGUAGGGAAAGUUUUUGUGGAACUGUACAAUUCAUGGAAAUUGUUUUUCAGUUUCCCAAGCUCUUACAAAUUUAUAGCAAGGUGGUGCUUUUUAUUUUGUUUUUGUUUUUCUAAAAAACAAGCUCUGACAAGUUUUAUUAAAUAAAAAUUUUGCAUGGCUUA